AUCAUAGGUUCACCAUUACUUAGUAUAGUAUAAAUAGCAAUUAGCAGCUAGGAAAAAAAGAGAGGGAGGGACGGAGGCUCAUGUAAUGCUAUUUUAUUAAAAAAGUUUUUUCUUCAUCUUGUUUUUUGUUUGCUUUGCCUUUUUAAAAAGCAUCCUUUUAAAAAAAUUAGUAAUGAUGUUUUCAUUUCAGCCUUCACUCUAGUAUAACAAUUAUUUAUUUCUGCUUUCUAGGUGCUGUUAUAUUCUAUUUUUGUUAUUGUACUAUAUGAAUAGGUGAGCUGUGUAAAUAACUUUGUAGCACUGAAAAAUGUUCACGUUUUCACCAGCUGCAUGUAUCACUCCCUGUGAAUUAGGUGGUUGGCAUGUAGAUAAGAUAUAUGGUAUACUUAAGAAAUUAGGGCAAAGGUUCUUGGCAAGUCUCAUUAUAUGACUUCAUUAGUGUUAAUAGUAUAUAUACAUAGUAUUCCAGACACCUGCAGAGUAUUGGGAAAGGCAUCAAGAAAAUACCUAUGUUUGCUACAACUCUUACCUCAGCAAUUCAUCUGUCAUUCUCCAUGCACGUGUUUGCAAUAACUUCCCCCUACCCUUUUUGCUGUCCUUCUCUGUCUUUCUCUGACUGUAUACAUUUCUUUAGCCCUUGUCAGAUGUUCUUAAAAUCAUGUCCUUUGCCAACAUUGCUCAGAUGUUGCAGACAUCUGUACACGAGUUGGGCUUGUGUGGAAGCCAAUAUGUGUACAAAUGUUCCCCCCUGCAGAUAUUUGCACAUUCAGCUGCACAUUCAAGAUCUUGUGUGACAUCAAUGGGAAAUAAAGCUUAACUAGAAUGCUCUUGUUUUCAAAACAAAUGAAAAUAUGCUUGCGUCAUAUUUGAUAUUUCAUAUAAUUCAAGAGGCAGCUAAUUAAUAGUAUGAGGCAAUAUUAAUAGAAAGAGCCUCCUUCUGUUACCCUCUAUUGAGAUACCAAAUCUUCCAUUUCACAAGUUUUACUAUAAGGGGGACGUUUUGAUUUAUCACUAGGGCACAGAAUGUCAGAAAGUCAAGUAUCCCUGGAUAAUUAAGACAUGCUUCAUUCCAUCCCUCAUUUCAUUCUAAAGGCUGUAACAUACUUCUACAAUGCAGCAUUCCUAUAAUGUCUACAAUACAAGUACAGGCAUAUUAUUGGCAUCAACCAAGUUUGCCCUAGGUAUAUUCCUUUAAUCAUACAACAUAAACUCACAGAAGCAUUAAGUAUCAUUUCAGAAUAAUACAACUGAUAACUUGUGACUUAUGCAAUUUCCCAUACCAGAAUACUGUUUUCUCAACAUAACUUUAAAAUUAAAAAGAAAAAACAAAAACAAAAGUGUCCAAAAGGACAGAGAAACACAAAAUGCUAGAAAGAAAACAUUACAAAACAAAACGCAAGUGAUACAACAUGGCACAGUGACAAAACCACAACAAAUAGAAGCCAACUUAGGUUAUGACAUUGACAUGCCUUUUCAGUUCAGUGUUAGAAAUAAGGCUUCAAAGGAAAUUCAUGAAAGGAGAAGUAAAUCUGGUUUAAUCUGAGAAGGAAUCAGAAAAAUGCAGCCAAUGAAAUGAUUUUCAUAUCAAGUUUUCUAUUCAUUUAUUCUCAAGGAGCAUAUAGGAAAUUGUCUAGAACUGAUGCUUUUUCUUGGAAUUUGAGAUCAGGUACAAAACUUGAAUGUAAGUUCUUCUUAUAAAAUUCUUAGUAAUUCUAUCAAACAAACAAAAACAAGUUCAUGCAAGCUUGCCACUUACUUCUUUCCAUUAACAUUCUUUCCUUAUAAUCCUCACCUACUACUCACAUUCUACUAUUCAUUCUAUUAACUAUGGCAAAGCAAUCUUCAGGGAGUUCUUCCUUCCUUUCUCCUUUACCUAUAUGUAUGUAAUGUACGUACAUACCAGGGGUGGUAUUCACUUACCUUCGCUACCGGUUUGCAAAUGUGAGUGCGCAUGCGUGCUUGUGUGUGCCUCCUCCACACAUGCGCAGAGACCGCUACACAUGCGCAGAGGGUCAAAAACGGGACGUGAUGAUGUUCAUGUGGGUGGGCAGAGCCUCCCUCUGCCAGUGCUACUGGAUUGCGCGAUCCGGAUAGAACCGGCUGAAUUUCACCAUUGCAUUGGGAACAUUGUGUCUUACCAACAUUUUGGAAUGUGACAGAGCGGUUCGAGGGGGAGGAAAUGCAUAAUCUGCUGUUGCCAAAUCUGGAUAUAAAACCUACAAUUUCAAGAACAAAAUUUAAAAGCAAGUGGUUUUGAUUUGUUUUUAAAAUAUUUUUUAUAUUUUAAAUGUAAAUUGUACCACAUUUAAAUUUCAUAUUAAAAUUUAACAAAUGUUUGCAUUCUUGUAUCCUUAUUAUUUCAGUCUGAUGCUAAAUAUAAAGAAACAAAUAUUAAGUCGGCUAGGAAAUAUUCAUAACUCGAAGCAGCUAACUGUGAUCUUAAACUUGAAAGGGGAAAAACUCAACCAGAUUGAAUAAUCAACAUUAUACAAAAGAGGAUCCCUUUACUGAAAACCUUCUCAGAAAACGUACAGAAGAGUUUUUAAUUAUGAUUGGUCUGUGUUUGUCCAAUUUCUUUUCAUUGCAACAAUUAAAUACAUUUUCAAUUAA
Long non-coding RNA from Ahaetulla prasina, 2610 nucleotides. RefSeq lists it as uncharacterized. The transcript is spliced from 2 exons. NCBI's taxonomy places the organism in Eukaryota, Metazoa, Chordata, Lepidosauria, Squamata, Colubridae. The record is from RefSeq and is a predicted model, not a curated record.